GAUGAACGCUGGCGGCGUGCUUAACACAUGCAAGUCGAACGAAGCAUUUAGAACGGAUUACUUCGGUUUGAAGUUCUUUAUGACUGAGUGGCGGACGGGUGAGUAACGCGUGGGUAACCUGCCUUGUACUGGGGGAUAGCAGCUGGAAACGGCUGGUAAUACCGCAUAAGCGCACAAUGUUGCAUGACAUGGUGUGAAAAACUCCGGUGGUAUAAGAUGGACCCGCGUCUGAUUAGCUAGUUGGUGAGAUAACAGCCCACCAAGGCGACGAUCAGUAGCCGACCUGAGAGGGUGACCGGCCACAUUGGGACUGAGACACGGCCCAGACUCCUACGGGAGGCAGCAGUGGGGAAUAUUGCACAAUGGAGGAAACUCUGAUGCAGCGACGCCGCGUGAGUGAAGAAGUAAUUCGUUAUGUAAAGCUCUAUCAGCAGGGAAGAUAGUGACGGUACCUGACUAAGAAGCUCCGGCUAAAUACGUGCCAGCCGCCGCGGUAA
Molecule: ribosomal RNA, 497 nt
Filed under: uncultured bacterium
Lineage: Bacteria
Description: partial 16S ribosomal RNA
Rfam family: Bacterial small subunit ribosomal RNA
Source: RNAcentral